AAGAGACUUAGGUUAACNNUAAACCAGGGGCCUUCAAAGCCCCAAAUAAGAGCUCAACCCUCUUAGUCC
Molecule: transfer RNA, 69 nt
Filed under: Corucia zebrata
Lineage: Eukaryota; Metazoa; Chordata; Lepidosauria; Squamata; Scincidae
Description: tRNA-Trp
Rfam family: tRNA
About the family: Transfer RNA (tRNA) molecules are approximately 80 nucleotides in length. Their secondary structure includes four short double-helical elements and three loops (D, anti-codon, and T loops). Further hydrogen bonds mediate the characteristic L-shaped molecular structure. tRNAs have two regions of fundamental functional importance: the anti-codon, which is responsible for specific mRNA codon recognition, and the 3' end, to which the tRNAs corresponding amino acid is attached (by aminoacyl-tRNA synthetases). tRNAs cope with the degeneracy of the genetic code in two manners: having more than one tRNA (with a specific anti-codon) for a particular amino acid; and 'wobble' base-pairing, i.e. permitting non-standard base-pairing at the 3rd anti-codon position.
Source: RNAcentral